Non-coding RNA from Parelaphostrongylus tenuis, 71 nucleotides. The record is from the annotation of a GenBank genome assembly. Lineage: Eukaryota; Metazoa; Nematoda; Chromadorea; Rhabditida; Metastrongylidae.
GUGUUGAUGGUUUAGAGAUAGAAUGCUCGCUUGCCACACGGACGACCUAGGUUCGACUCCCGGCCAAUGCA